CUCUGUUGCUCAGUCUUUCUAAAACUCCUGGCCUCAAGCUUUUUUUUUUUUUUUUGUAUUUUUAUUGGUUUCCUUAGUAAUGGUAGCUAAAGCUCCCAAACAUUCUUUUCUGUUUUUUUUUUUUUCAUUCCUUUCUCUUAAAACUGUUUGGAUUUCCUGAGUAAUAGAUAUGCAUACUAAUUACCAGUCCAAUUUUAUUUUAAGGGCUAAAAUGAUGACUGCAAAAAUGGAC
RNAcentral lists this long non-coding RNA (232 nucleotides) under Homo sapiens (human). RNAcentral's name for it is "non-protein coding lnc-ZGRF1-7:1". Lineage: Eukaryota; Metazoa; Chordata; Mammalia; Primates; Hominidae. The record is from RNAcentral.